This 468-nucleotide ribosomal RNA is filed under the name uncultured bacterium. RNAcentral's name for it is "partial 16S ribosomal RNA". It matches the Rfam family "Bacterial small subunit ribosomal RNA", at positions 28 to 507 of the family's 1533-position model. The record is from RNAcentral.
GACGAACGCUGGCGGCGUGCUUAACACAUGCAAGUCGAACGGAAAGGCCCUGCUUUUGUGGGGUGCUCGAGUGGCGAACGGGUGAGUAACACGUGAGUAACCUGCCCUUGACUUUGGGAUAACUUCAGGAAACUGGGGCUAAUACCGGAUAGGAGCUCCUGCUGCAUGGUGGGGGUUGGAAAGUUUCGGCGGUUGGGGAUGGACUCGCGGCUUAUCAGCUUGUUGGUGGGGUAGUGGCUUACCAAGGCUUUGACGGGUAGCCGGCCUGAGAGGGUGACCGGGCACAUUGGGAAUGGGGUACCGGCCAAGCUCCUUCCGGAGGCAGCAGUGGGGAAUAUUGCACAAUGGGCGGAAGCCUGAUGCAGCAACGCCGCGUGCGGGAUGACGGCCUUCGGGUUGUAAACCGCUUUCGCCUGUGACGAAGCGUGAGUGACGGUAAUGGGUAAAGAAGCACCGGCUAACUACGUG